RNAcentral lists this ribosomal RNA (350 nucleotides) under Citharoides macrolepis (twospot largescale flounder). RNAcentral describes it as "partial 12S ribosomal RNA". It matches the Rfam family "Bacterial small subunit ribosomal RNA", at positions 804 to 1360 of the family's 1533-position model. The record is from RNAcentral. Lineage: Eukaryota; Metazoa; Chordata; Actinopteri; Pleuronectiformes; Citharidae.
AAACAAUGAUCAUACCCCCAAAUAUAUCUGCCAGGGGACUACGAACAAUAGUUUAAAACCCAAAGGACUUGGCGGUGCUUAGACCCCCUAGAGGAGCCUGUUAUAUAACCGAUAAUCCCCGUUAAACCUCACCCUCUCUUGCCAGAUCAGCUUAUAUACCGCCGUCGCAAGCCCACCCUGCAAAGGAUAAACAGUGGGCAAAAUUGGCACCGCCCCAGACGUCAGGUCGAGGUGUAGCACAUGAGAGGGGAUCUAAUGGGCUACACUCACUGUCAACAGUACUUACGGAAGUGUCAUUUAAACAUGAAACUGAAGAAGGAUUUAGCAGUAAGGGGGAAAUAGAGCGUCCC